Long non-coding RNA from Tyto alba (common barn owl), 536 nucleotides. RefSeq lists it as uncharacterized. The transcript is spliced from 3 exons. The record is from RefSeq and is a predicted model, not a curated record. NCBI's taxonomy places the organism in Eukaryota, Metazoa, Chordata, Aves, Strigiformes, Tytonidae.
GAGUGAGGCUGGAGGAGCUGCCUCGUGGGGGACCAGAGUUUGCUGGGAGGCUGGAGACAACGGGAACACCGACAAGUGCCAGGACUGGCGUCCACGGGGCCGACUGCCUGCCACCACCUCCAACCCCCGGCUGGAGCCUCGGGUCUCCUGGCCCAGGCUGCCCUCGGGGUUGCAAGACGUCUGCAACGAUGCGAUGCUUUGCUUUCAGGGUGCCGUCUCCCUCGGCUGUAAGCCAAGAGGCUCAGUCCUGGGGACAUGUGGAGGGAUGUGCUGGGUUCUCAGUGUGGCAGAGGAGGGAUCCCAUCAGGUCCUGCUGCCGCCAUCAGCUGCCUGACACCGUUGUGGUUUCCUGCUGGAGCUUCCAGAGGGGGAGGCACAACGCACCGAUGAAGGUUGAAUCCUCUUCCUCAGGGCUGUGCAGGCCCGUUGCAAGCAAAGAAUAUCUCCUUUUCUGCAAGCUGCUGACCUCCUGGCUCGCGCGCUGCACUGUGCUGCAAGAAGCUAACAGAUGACUCAAGGUCUUCACAUGCAUUUGC